AAAGUCCCCUGAUGCCAAUUGAUCAUUCGGGCAUCUAGCAGGAGGUUGAGUUUAUGAAGUGAUUUAUAGGCUUAAGUUACCUUGAACGGUAAAUGCAAAGCAGCGGGCUGCAACAAAAGUGAACCUAAAUUAGCCUCGUAAUACGAAGGAGCACUUGCCGACCGUAUCGUCGCAGUGGGAAGGCUGAUAAGAGAUAGGGAUUAAUGGUCAUGAGAACUAUCUUAUAAGUGCCGGGGUGUUAGGGGU
Non-coding RNA from Gammaproteobacteria bacterium, 246 nucleotides. The record is from Rfam. Lineage: Bacteria; Pseudomonadati; Pseudomonadota; Gammaproteobacteria.